RNAcentral lists this ribosomal RNA (206 nucleotides) under Bacillus sp. (in: firmicutes). Its description in RNAcentral is "Bacillus sp. (in: Bacteria) partial 16S ribosomal RNA". It matches the Rfam family "Bacterial small subunit ribosomal RNA", at positions 72 to 269 of the family's 1533-position model. The record is from RNAcentral. Lineage: Bacteria; Bacillati; Bacillota; Bacilli; Caryophanales; Bacillaceae.
AUUAGAGCUUGCUUCUAUGACGUUAGCGGCGGACGGGUGAGUAACACGUGGGCAACCUGCCUGUAAGACUGGGAUAACUUCGGGAAACCGAAGCUAAUACCGGAUAGGAUCUUCUCCUUCAUGGGAGAUGAUUGAAAGAUGGUUUCGGCUGUCACUUAUGGAUGGACCCGCGGCGCAUUAGCUAGUUGGUGAGGUAACGGCUCACC